Molecule: long non-coding RNA, 620 nt
Organism: Pan troglodytes (chimpanzee)
Lineage: Eukaryota; Metazoa; Chordata; Mammalia; Primates; Hominidae
Exons: 3
Source: RefSeq, a predicted model, not a curated record
GUUUCUCUAGGUCGUUGCUGCCAUGAAGUAAGAGUCUGUCUGGAAAUGAAGGCGAGCAGAGGCCACAAAGCUGAGACAUGGAGACAGAGAGAGUCCUGAUGUUAUUAUUUGGACCAUUGAGUCCAGCUGUGCCUGAAACUCUUCAGAAUGCAAAACUGAAAAGCUGGUGGCUCAUUCAUAAUCUUGUGGACCAGGAAUUUGUAAAGCACUCAACUGGGCUGUUCAUCUUUGCCCCAAGUAGCAUCAAAUGGAGCAGCUGCCUCCAAGAUGGUAUACUCACAUGGCUGGCAAGCAUACAGAAGACAAGCUUUCCCAGCGCUUUUGGGUUAGAUGGGGCUUGGUGACUCCAUACCAAUGGGAUGUGAGCAAAAGUGACACCGAUCACUCCUACUGAAGCACUGAAGCGCAGGAGAGAGGUCCAGGCUGCCGAGGAGACCGAAGGAGUCCUGUGUUGUAGAUGUCCUAGCUGUUGCCGGUACUGAUGGUAGAGCCUCCAUCAGCCUGGAUCCCUGAGUUACUGAUGGAGCAGAAUUCCCUCAACACAUACAUGCCCAACUUGGACUUGCAAUGGACAUAUAGCAUAUGCAAGAAAUAAACUUUUUUUGUUUUCGGCUUUGGGA